GUAGGUGGCAAGCGUUGUCCGGAAUUAUUGGGCGUAAAGCGCGCGCAGGCGGUUCUUUAAGUCUGAUGUGAAAGCCCACGGCUCAACCGUGGAGGGUCAUUGGAAACUGGAGAACUUGAGUACAGAAGAGGAAAGCGGAAUUCCACGUGUAGCGGUGAAAUGCGUAGAGAUGUGGAGGAACACCAGUGGCGAAGGCGGCUUUCUGGUCUGUAACUGACGCUGAGGCGCGAAAGCGUGGGGAGCAAACAGGGAUUAGAUACCCUGGUAGUCCACGCCGUAAACGAUGAGUGCUAAGUGUUAGGGGGUUUCCGGUCCCCCUUAGUGCUGCAGCUAACGCAUUAAGCACUCCGCCUGGGGAGUACGGCCGCAAGGCUG
This 375-nucleotide ribosomal RNA is filed under the name uncultured organism. Its description in RNAcentral is "partial 16S ribosomal RNA". It matches the Rfam family "Bacterial small subunit ribosomal RNA", at positions 527 to 896 of the family's 1533-position model. The record is from RNAcentral.